AGCCCAUAUAAAUAGAGGUGGAGGCGUAUGGACUUCCUCUUCUCCUGUCGUCUCGUCUCUUCAGGGCGAAGCUUGAGGAGGUGGAGAUGGACUUUGAGCAGAGCUGCACAUCAUCUGUGGUGGCCGGCCUUGCCCAGCCUCUGCCGUUGAGCACUCGUGCAGGUUUUGGAUGAUGCAGUAGACUGCAGAAAUGAAAGCGCUACCUACAGGUGAUGGACUGAGCCACUUUGAUGCUGCAGGAGCCUGAAGGAGGAAUCCGGCUCCAGAGGUCCAGGCGGAUGCUGCACAGAUGCAGGUGUUGAGGAUCUUUCGAAGGUCCUGCCUCCAGCCCAAGGGUGAGGUGGAGAUGCAAACUACCAGAAUCUCAUCCUAAAAGCCUCUAAUGGUUUGGUUCUAUCAGCUUGAAUGCCUGUAUGAGGCAGUCUGUGAAGGGUUUAAAUUCCAGACAUCCACCCCUGCUCCAAUGUUUUAUAAACUUGUUUGUAAUAAACAACAAACUCAGAAUGUG
Molecule: long non-coding RNA, 508 nt
Organism: Oryzias latipes (Japanese medaka)
Lineage: Eukaryota; Metazoa; Chordata; Actinopteri; Beloniformes; Adrianichthyidae
Source: RefSeq, a predicted model, not a curated record